Molecule: long non-coding RNA, 1312 nt
Organism: Sycon ciliatum
Lineage: Eukaryota; Metazoa; Porifera; Calcarea; Leucosolenida; Sycettidae
Exons: 4
Source: RefSeq, a predicted model, not a curated record
ACCUUUGUGCCCUUCGCGAAUUCGUUCACUCCUUCCUUGCAUGUUGUUAGUGAGUGGCCGAAGCUGUGGCACUUCCCUUUCUUUUGAAGGCGUGAACGAAUUUCAAUUUGCAUCAUUGUGAACCUAGGCUACAUGGCCUUUGCUUCAUUAGGUACUGCGUUUCAUCGACCUGCUGCUCCUUGCCAAGUCCGCAAGAAAUGAUCCAGGGAAGAAAAUUCCAAUGAAGGGAGUUCGAAAACAACACUCUACGGCAGCGUGGACGUCUUCCAUCUUCAUGGGAGCUGCAGCGAAGGUGCGGUAAUAAUUGCUGCUGACUCGUUCCGACGCUGCCGACUCGUUCCGACGCUAUCUUUGUGGCAUCAGCUUUUCAGUUUAGGCCUCAGUGGCAUUUAGUCCCCAGGGAACUGAUCAGCUUGCAACACGGGGGGGAGAGUAUAACAUCUGGCAGGGGCAUCACUGGCCCAUCAGGCAGGGCUUUCGAAGCUGCAGCCAACCAGAGAAAAUGCCGAUCAUGACCUAAGGCGUAGUUGGAGUCAGCAUGGAUCAUGUGGCUUCUGUAUUUGCACAAAUGACAGUGACAGUCUAAUAUAGCUAUUCCUGAAGUAUAAAGGCCAUGCCAUACUUAUGUGAUGAUCAACGAAAGUCGCCUUAUCUUCACUGACCUCCAAUGCUUGCAAGCCAUCGUCGAGUCCUGCAGUUUAUUUCAAGUGUAGCGGCAAGCUUUGUCUAUGUCAUCAUGUUUUGUAAAUUUCUCAUUUCAUUUCUCUCGACAAGAGCGCAUUGAGCACAUUGAGCACUCUUUUGAACAGCCUGGAGCCUUUUUAUUUCUACAAGACAAUGUUUUGCAUGGUGCUACAUAUGCUAUGAUCACCUCUCUCUCCUUUCAUUACCCCCCCCCCCCCUCCCCCCCCCCAUACAAGUUUUGCAUGUGGGUUUAAUUUAAUAUGUAAAAACAGAAGGUACAACAUGCUCUAGGUUUUUUCAACCAACCGUGCACGCUGCUUUUCCGAAAUCCACUGCUCCUGAUUUCAGCUCCUGCUGUAUCUGCACUGGUAGUGCAUUUCUCUCCCUUUCCUACUUGUAUCAUUUAGAUUCAUGUAUUAAUCCCAAAGCAUAUAUUGAAAUCGCCACUUAGGAGCAUAUAUAGCCGGAAGGCGGAGAAUGUUUAGCAGAUCACACACAAAUAACUGCUGACAUUUAGAGUAACCAUAUUCACACUUCAUUGCUACCACAGAUUUCCUACUUUUUAAUUGCCUUUCUUUACCUUUGCUAGAAAAUUCAUUCUAUGUUGCUUAGUAAAAAUGUUAGUCAA